UUAGCUUAUAUUUGUAUGGAAUGGGAUCGUUUUCCUAAGUUUGCCGUUAGGGGCGCUGUUCCAACUGCAUACAAAAUUGGGAUA
This 84-nucleotide microRNA precursor is filed under the name Bombyx mori (domestic silkworm). RNAcentral's name for it is "mir-2807 microRNA precursor family". It matches the Rfam family "mir-2807 microRNA precursor family". The record is from Rfam by way of RNAcentral. Lineage: Eukaryota; Metazoa; Arthropoda; Insecta; Lepidoptera; Bombycidae.